RNAcentral lists this small nuclear RNA (64 nucleotides) under Colletotrichum orbiculare MAFF 240422. Lineage: Eukaryota; Fungi; Ascomycota; Sordariomycetes; Glomerellales; Glomerellaceae. The record is from RNAcentral.
GUAUAGUAGCAUGGCCCCUGCACUAAGGAUGACACGCUCAAUCAAAGAGAAGCUAUCAAUUUUU